GUCCUUGUAGCUAACGGAUAAAGCGUUAAACUUUUAAUCCAAAGGUCGUGGGUUCCUAUCCCACCUGGGAUG
Molecule: non-coding RNA, 72 nt
Organism: Trichonephila inaurata madagascariensis
Lineage: Eukaryota; Metazoa; Arthropoda; Arachnida; Araneae; Nephilidae
Source: the annotation of a GenBank genome assembly